UGCAGAGAAUCAGCACAAACCUGGGUCAGUCCAACAGCUCAGGAGCACCUGUGCUUGGGGGAAGGGCGUCCCAGGGAGAUAGAAGUGAGCAAGCAUCCCGGAAAGGGAGGCAUCGGUUCUCCAAAGGUGAAACCACUUUCCACUGACCAGGCAUUAUUUCCAGUUCCCCAGAAGGAGUUCUGGCAUGAAAAAUAAGUCUGUAUCCUGCACUGUGAUGGAUAGCUUCUAAUGGAGGUGGAAACGUCUAAGAGGACUUAAAAGGCAAACUGCCCUGGGAGAGGUAACACACGGACACAAUUUGCUGGCAAUGAGGCAGUAGACUGAAAGUAAGCUGCCCACAAGCUAGUCCCACAUCCUGAAAACAGAGGAGGAUGCUGAGAGCUGAAAAACCUUCAUGCCGACAGCAUUCGGAGAAAGGAGUACAACGAAGGCUGGACAGAGAAAUUUUGAUUUCCUGGUCCCUCUGAACUUCUUAAAAUCAGUGAUAACUGAAGUUUGUCAAGACGAUCCCAGCAUGUACUCUGAAAUAGAAAAGCCUCAUUUUUAUCUUGACAAAACCUUCCAAGGUGGCUGUGUUGAUUACCUCACUGUGUGCAGGAGGGGCCUUCAGAUCAACAGAGUUCAAUAACCAAGGCAGGACUUGCAGCUCAUCGCUGGUGGAACAAUGAUUUGAACUGAAGCCUAGCACUCUCCAAAGUCAGAGCUCUUCACCACCAAGCACCACCAAAUCUCCUCAAUGUCUUAAAGAGUGUUCCUCUGUACGGAGGGGACAUGCUAACUGUUAACCAGAGCAUUUGUUGAACAACUAAUGGAAGGAAGGAAGGAA
Molecule: long non-coding RNA, 826 nt
Filed under: Equus caballus (horse)
Lineage: Eukaryota; Metazoa; Chordata; Mammalia; Perissodactyla; Equidae
Description: lncRNA (ENSECAG00000051995.1)
Source: RNAcentral